UACGUAGGGUGCGAGCGUUAAUCGGAAUUACUGGGCGUAAAGCGUGCGCAGGCGGCUUUGCAAGACAAAUGUGAAAUCCCCGGGCUCAACCUGGGAACUGCAUUUGUGACUGCAAGGCUAGAGUACGGCAGAGGGGGAUGGAAUUCCGCGUGUAGCAGUGAAAUGCGUAGAUAUGCGGAGGAACACCAAUGGCGAAGGCAAUCCCCUGGGCCUGUACUGACGCUCAUGCACGAAAGCGUGGGGAGCAAACAGG
RNAcentral lists this ribosomal RNA (253 nucleotides) under uncultured bacterium. Its description in RNAcentral is "partial 16S ribosomal RNA". It matches the Rfam family "Bacterial small subunit ribosomal RNA", at positions 524 to 776 of the family's 1533-position model. The record is from RNAcentral.